This 253-nucleotide ribosomal RNA is filed under the name uncultured bacterium. Its description in RNAcentral is "partial 16S ribosomal RNA". It matches the Rfam family "Bacterial small subunit ribosomal RNA", at positions 524 to 776 of the family's 1533-position model. The record is from RNAcentral.
GACGAACCGAGCGAACGUUGUUCGGAAUCACUGGGCUUAAAGGGCGCGUAGGCGGGUGCUCAAGUCUGUGGUGAAAUCCUCCGGCUCAACCGGAGAACUGCCAUGGAUACUGGGUGUCUCGAGGGUGGUAGGGGUAUGCGGAACUAUCGGUGGAGCGGUGAAAUGCGUUGAUAUCCACAGGAACUCCGGUGGCGAAGGCGAGGUGCUGGACCCCUUCUGACGCUGAGGCGCGAAAGCCAGGGGAGCGAACGGG